AAUAGAAAAAACUUGGACUUGGAUCUCUCUCAUUUGAGCCCACAAAGCCAUGAAAAUCAGGUUAUAAAAGAGGGGGAUCAGACAGAAAAAGAAAGAGAAGCAAAAUACUAUGAGGUUUCCUUGAAACAAAACCCUGGACAAAACUUGGAGAGGAACCUGACAGAGAACUCAGAGCAACCCCCAUCUCACGCAAACCCUAACAUUUCAACCGGUCUCUCCC
Molecule: long non-coding RNA, 220 nt
Filed under: Lathyrus oleraceus (garden pea)
Lineage: Eukaryota; Viridiplantae; Streptophyta; Magnoliopsida; Fabales; Fabaceae
Description: Pisum sativum (pea) long non-coding RNA (PSAT_LNC011737)
Source: RNAcentral